Molecule: unclassified non-coding RNA, 931 nt
Filed under: Daphnia pulex (common water flea)
Lineage: Eukaryota; Metazoa; Arthropoda; Branchiopoda; Diplostraca; Daphniidae
Description: venom allergen 3 homolog, transcript variant X2
Source: RNAcentral
AGCGACGCUUACAAGAUGAAAACUUUGGCUGCCUCAGUCCUCAUUGCCGCCGCCUGCUUCUCGGUUUUUGCUGAAGCCCAGUCAACUAAUUACUGCACCAUCAGCACAUGCUCCGUGCCAUCGGACAACACCCUCUGCAAAUAUUCGAACACUACUUGGGGAGCAGCUUGCCGACCGGCCUACCCAUCCAGUUCGAUCGUGACCGAUGCCGACAUCGUGACCAUUUUGAAUGUGCACAACGAUUACCGACGAAAAGUUGCGCAGGGCCUUGAGACCCGAGGAAGUCCAGGUCCUCAACCUCCCGCGUCCAACAUGAGGGAAUUGCAAUGGGACCAAGAACUCUCGGUUAUGGCACAAGCCCACGCCCAACAGUGUGUGUUCCAACACGACAGUUGCAGAGAUGUUCCUCGUUUUCGGGUGGGUCAGAAUAUUUACAUUACUGGGUCUUCCGCCAACAACCUUGGCACUUCAGACUGGAAUGCAGUAGUAAAGUCUUGGUACGAUGAAGUUCAAUACAUGAACACCGCUUACGUCCAAUCCUUCCCCGCAAACCCACCAAAUGUAAUUGGACACUACACGCAAGUAGUAUGGGCCGACACUUAUUAUGUGGGUUGUGCAGUGGCUUACUUCCAAUCUACGGCCGUUUUUGGGCCAUCGUAUCCCUAUAAUAGAAUGUACGUUUGUAAUUACGGACCAACUGGCAACUGGAUCGGCUCUCAAGUUUAUAAGCAAGGAACAGCCGGAUCCGCCUGCCCCACAGGUACUGUGAACAGCAACGGCUUGUGUGUUUGAACACAGUUUGUUACUUUUCCCUAAAAUUUGUACCACAGCCAGUAUCUUAAUGAUCUGUCGUGGACAUUAUUCCCCCUGAUUUUUUGGCGCCUAUAAAAUCCUAGUGCAGUAGUUUGAAAAUACAUUUAAUCAGUCAGCA